GCCUUUUACCUACAAGAAUUUGCAUGUACUGGUUUAAGGAAAGCCCGUCACCGUAAUCACAAAGUGGUCUGGCAAGACUGUUCUGCCUUAAGGUCCUGGUCUGAAAGGAGUAAAAGCAUCAGACUUUAAUAUAUCUACUAGGUAGAAGACUGCUUUGGGUGAAAGCUAUGUUUUUCUGUUCUCAUAACAACAGAACACUCAACAACAUGCAACUUAAGGGAAGAUGGGCUUGUUUGGACUCAGUAUCAUGUCACAGAAGAACUGGCAGCAUAUCAACAUGCUCUCUCUGUGUGUUGUAGCUUGCUAACAUCUCAGCAGACUGAGAAGCAGAGACUUUGGGUAGAGCCAGCACCCUGCAUCCCAUAGGCCUGUCCAAUGCCCACUGUUGGGGCCUCACAGCCUACCAAGGUGGGUACCAGUUCAUUUGGGACUUCAGAUCUUGUGACAAGCUAUCAAGAAAGGAGGCCAGAUGUGCUGCCUAAGCCAUUGAUUUUUAUCCUUGCUAAAUUCAGAACCAAAGAAACAACUUCUUUGGAGAUGAUGUUUUGCCCUCCCAAAUGUGAAGACCUAGCAGUCAUGUUGGUACGUGCUUGCACCCCCAGCAUUUGGGUAGUAGAGUCAAGAAGAUAGGAAGGACUAUUGUUCACGUUGCCAGAGACAGAAAAAGAUACAACAGAAGACGAAGAAGAAAACUGACAAUACUAAUCCUAAAAUCCAAUCCCAAAAUACCUUUAUUUUACU
This is a non-coding RNA of Cricetulus griseus (Chinese hamster), 741 nucleotides long. NCBI's taxonomy places the organism in Eukaryota, Metazoa, Chordata, Mammalia, Rodentia, Cricetidae. The record is from RefSeq and is a predicted model, not a curated record.